RNAcentral lists this ribosomal RNA (254 nucleotides) under uncultured bacterium. RNAcentral describes it as "partial 16S ribosomal RNA". It matches the Rfam family "Bacterial small subunit ribosomal RNA", at positions 524 to 776 of the family's 1533-position model. The record is from RNAcentral.
UACGGGGGGAGCAAGCGUUGUUCGGAUUUACUGGGCGUAAAGGGCGCGUAGGCGGCCACCGCAAGUCGGUUGUGAAAUCUCCGGGCUUAACCCGGAAAGGUCAAUCGAUACUGCGGGGCUAGAGUGCAGAAGGGGCAACUGGAAUUCUCGGUGUAGCGGUGAAAUGCGUAGAUAUCGAGAGGAACACCUGCGGCGAAGGCGGGUUGCUGGGCUGACACUGACGCUGAAGCGCGAAAGUUAGGGGAGCGAACGGG